This 157-nucleotide ribosomal RNA is filed under the name uncultured Russula. RNAcentral describes it as "5.8S ribosomal RNA". It matches the Rfam family "5.8S ribosomal RNA". From Rfam's summary of the family: 5.8S ribosomal RNA (5.8S rRNA) is a component of the large subunit of the eukaryotic ribosome. Lineage: Eukaryota; Fungi; Basidiomycota; Agaricomycetes; Russulales; Russulaceae. The record is from RNAcentral.
ACAACUUUCAACAACGGAUCUCUUGGCUCUCGCAUCGAUGAAGAACGCAGCGAAAUGCGAUACGUAAUGUGAAUUGCAAAAUUCAAUGAAWCAUCUAAACUUUUAACGCACCUUGCGCCCCUUGGCAUUCCGAGGGGCACACCGGUUUGAGUGKCGU